UACUUUUCCAUUUUGAUUGUGAUUAAUUUGAUUGUGAUUUCUUUUGGUAAAUUGAUUGAUGACGAUUAGAUUUUUAUUUAUUGAUUAAAUUAGAGUGACACACACACACACACUCACACUCACACGCGGUGUCUCACAUUCGUAUAUAGUGGAUACAAAGUGAUAAAAGAAUAACAGUUUUACCAUAGAGAUUGAAUAUCUGUUUGGGAUGAGAAAAAGAGACAAUCAAAAGUGAUUCUUGUGUUAACACUAUUAAGUAAAUGGUGGUAAAGGAAACCAUUAUCAAGCGUUUUUAUUAACCGUGAGAUUGAACAUACAGUAAAUGAUAACAGUUUUCUAUCAUCAUCAUUAAAUGAAGAAGAUCAACUCGAAGAAGUGAAGAUGAUGAAGAUAAUGAUGAUGAUAUUCCUUAUUAUAUUAUUGUUAUAUUGGAAGACACAACAGACAAAAGAUUUUUAUUCUUUUUUUGUUGUUGUUGUUGUUCCUUCUUUGAUUUUGGUUAAUAAGGUCAAUAUAAUAAUAAUAGAUGAGAUUGUCAUCCUCAUCUCUAUUUUUUUUUCUUCAUCCUCCUUCUCAUCUCCAUCACAUAUUCAUCUUGUUCAUCUUCCUCCUCCUUCAUCAUCACCAGUGGAAAACCAAUUUACCGUUACAGUCUAUUAGAUACAAGAUAUAAUGUAAAUAAUAUUAUAAACUGUUUCUAUUUUAACUCCUUAAGAGACAGUAAUGAUAAUAUAAUCAACCCAAUGAUGAUGAUACUAAUAUAAACAAUCAAUUAUUGAUUAUAUUAUUCCCAGUUGAAUAUAAUAACAACAGUUAUUUAAUCGAGUUGAUAUUAAACAGGGAGUGUUUUCCAAAUGUAUAUAUAGUUAAUAUUGUAACAGUUUAAAUGAUAUAAAUAGUUAAGUGUUUACCUGUGACCACACAAGAUGACUUAGACUGAUGAUGAGCAUCUUCAUCAUCAACAUCAAGAUCAACUCAUUGGGACACCAGCAAAAUGAUUCAACAAUUUACCAUCAUGAUUAACUGAAUGAAGAAAUUCAUUAAUUUAACAGUUUAUCUUUACUCUUACUUGACACCUUGGAUUCAACAAUCAGCAAUCUAAUUACAACUGAAUUUGGAUAAAUAAACAACAUUGGAACAAGUAGAAAACCAAUGAAUGGUCAAUCGUAAUACUUAUUGGUCAUGGAAGGAGAUGAGGAAAAAAAAGAGUUACAAAGAGUAACAUAUUUACACAGAUCUUAAAGUUUUCUGUAAUUCUUGUGUUGACCUUUGGUCAAGGAUCAUCUCUAAGAGACAUUUGCUUAACAAUAUUACCGUAAAUGAGAUGGAAAAGAAAAGAGUUGAUUUCUUUUCUUCUUCAUCAUCUUCUUCGUCUUAUCAUUUCUCUUUCUUUUUUUAGAUGGUAAACAUAAGACUCACUUAUUGACAAUGAAGAAGAAGAUGAUGAUGAUUAUGAUGAGGAUGAAAAGAAAACGAAAAGGCCUCAGGAGAUACUGGACACUGGACACGAUAAAGGCCAUAAAAGUUGAACAUAAACAACUAGCACCCACCAUCACUGUCCACUAUCAUCAUUGUCAUCAUACCUUUUCAAGACCUUUACCCUUCACCCUAUUGUCCCUUCUGGUCAACUCAAACCUUUCUCCCUCCCUCUUCCAUUAUCAUCACCCUGUGGCCCUUGGGUCAUCAUCAACAUCAUUACAAAAGCUUGACCAUUAUUAUCAGUUGACAAUAUUUUCAUUCAUAUGAAAUGCAAACGAAAAAAAAAGUUUUUUCUUUGACAAAAGGUAAGAAGUAUAAAUCUCAGGUAAAUGGAAAACUUUUUUUUUCAAAUUUCAUUAUUUUCUUUUCUUGAUAUAAACAAAAGUAGAGUAAAUUUUUCUUCAAUUAUUUUCAUAUUAACAAUUGAUUUUCAGUUGAAUACAAUCAAUAUUAUACGACGUAUAGGAGAUGGGACAGCAAUUAACUUUUAAACAGACAAAAUAAUUAGGCAAAAGUUACAUUAAGUUAACCUUAGGAAACUUGGGCUACCUUUGUAACCUUAGGGAGUCAUGGACACCAUGAAGAUGACAAAGAUGAAGAUGAGGAUAAUGAUGAUAAGAGAAAGAGAGAGAGAGGGAGUGACAGAAGAUGAUAAUAAUGACUGAAUGAGAGAGAGAGAGAGAGAGAGAGAUAAUGGUUAAAGGUGAAAAAUUAUUACCUGAGAUUGACCAUAAAAUUGGAGUUGACCAUUGGUUUCGUUGUGAUUCUUGACCAAUGGUCAUUUGGGGGAAUAUUUUGAGCUUUAAAAUGUUUGGUCCGUCAGGGAACCAAAGCCGACUGUCUAAAUUAUUGUCAAACAAAUAACAAUUACCAACGAAAAAUGAUUAACAAUAUAACAAUUAACCCAAGAGACAAUAAUUCAACCAAUUGUAAUGUCAACUGAUUCUCAACAAUUAUAAAUAAUCAAUCAAAGAUGAUGAAGAAGAAAAAAUCUCAACAAUUAAUUGAAACCACACACAUUCACCAAUGUGAAUUAAAAUUAACCAUUUGAAAAUUUAUAAUAAUUAAUAAUCAACACAAUAGUUGAACAACAAUUAAUAACAAUUAAAUGUCAUAUGUAAAAAAAAUGAAUAUAAAAUUACGGAAAUAAAUUUUCAUUCAUCUUGAUUACGGAACAAUAAUCAACUGAUGAUGAUUAACAAGAUGAUUCAACUGAUAUUGUUGAUGAUAAGCACGUUCAUUGACACGCACACAGAGAUAGCGACACACACGCGCAUUCAGCACGUAGCACGUGCUAAAACAUAACAAACCUAUGGAUCCAUUGUAAUGAUAACCUUUUGAGGUUUGGACAAUCAGAGAGAUGAUCAAAAAAGAUAAACAAACAAUCAGAUUAACAAUUGACAAUCUUUUACAAAAUUAUCAUUAUUAUUAUCCUCUGAUCACAAUUAACUAACCAAGAAAAUAAAUAUACAGAUUAACAAUUUAUCUAAAUUGUUAAUAAUAAUU
Molecule: long non-coding RNA, 2985 nt
Organism: Panonychus citri (citrus red mite)
Lineage: Eukaryota; Metazoa; Arthropoda; Arachnida; Trombidiformes; Tetranychidae
Exons: 4
Source: RefSeq, a predicted model, not a curated record